RNAcentral lists this transfer RNA (72 nucleotides) under Camelus bactrianus (Bactrian camel). It matches the Rfam family "tRNA". From Rfam's summary of the family: Transfer RNA (tRNA) molecules are approximately 80 nucleotides in length. Their secondary structure includes four short double-helical elements and three loops (D, anti-codon, and T loops). Further hydrogen bonds mediate the characteristic L-shaped molecular structure. tRNAs have two regions of fundamental functional importance: the anti-codon, which is responsible for specific mRNA codon recognition, and the 3' end, to which the tRNAs corresponding amino acid is attached (by aminoacyl-tRNA synthetases). tRNAs cope with the degeneracy of the genetic code in two manners: having more than one tRNA (with a specific anti-codon) for a particular amino acid; and 'wobble' base-pairing, i.e. permitting non-standard base-pairing at the 3rd anti-codon position. RNAcentral also lists the same sequence under 1 other name. The record is from Rfam by way of RNAcentral. Lineage: Eukaryota; Metazoa; Chordata; Mammalia; Artiodactyla; Camelidae.
GUUGGUGUAGCUCAGUGGUAGAGUGCAUGCUUAGCAUGCACGAGGUCCUGAGUUCAAUCCCCAGUAUCUCCA